Molecule: ribosomal RNA, 770 nt
Filed under: Xylechinus pilosus
Lineage: Eukaryota; Metazoa; Arthropoda; Insecta; Coleoptera; Curculionidae
Description: eukaryotic LSU rRNA
Rfam family: Eukaryotic large subunit ribosomal RNA
Source: RNAcentral
CGNNAGGGGUAAWCGUGAGAAACCCGAAAGGUCGAAAGGGGAAAUUCAUUCGCGUUUCGACGAAGGCGUCGAGUGGGGUCGAGUGACGGAAUUCGUUUCGGCGUGUUUCGCACCCUCUGCUCUUCGAACCGACGGCGAACGCGUGCACUUUUCCCCUGGUAGGACGUCGCGAUCCGUUGGGUGUCGAUUUACGGCUCGCGGUGGAGCCCGUUUGUCAUUACGUACGAACGGACCCGCGUGUCCCAGUCGACUUGCUCGACGGUAUACGAAAGGUUCGAGGCCGCUCCUGGAGCGUUCGGCUCUCGGCAAGCGCGUCAGAUGCGUCGGCGACCGGACCUAGUGCCGAUUCCGACCCCUGAUGACUGUUGGCCGGGAAGUUCUCGGACAGACCUCGUGACCGAUCUGCGGCGCUAUAGCUUUGGGUACUUUCAGGACCCGUCUUGAAACACGGACCAAGGAGUCUAGCAUGUGCGCGAGUCAUUGGGAAUUAUUAAACCUAAAGGCGAAAUGAAAGUAAAGGUUUUCCUUGCGAAGACCGAGGGAAGACGAGCGGUUUACCCUUAAAAGUGGCCGCUCAGCAUUCCCGGGGCGUCUCGUUCUCAUCACGAGAAGAGGCGCACCAAGAGCGUACACGCUGGGACCCGAAAGAUGGUGAACUAUGCCUGGUCAGGACGAAGUCAGGGGAAACCCUGAUGGAGGUCCGUAGCGAUUCUGACGUGCAAAUCGAUCGUCGGAACUGGGUAUAGGGGCGAAAGACUAAUCGAACCAUC